UCUGCUGACGGACUCGAACCCGUAGAUCCGAACUUGUGUUACCUGACUGGAAGCCACAAGCUCGGAUCUACAGGUCUGCGUCCGCGCAGCCCCUC
This 95-nucleotide microRNA precursor is filed under the name Tetraodon nigroviridis (spotted green pufferfish). Its description in RNAcentral is "Danio rerio miR-100-1 stem-loop (ENSTNIG00000020109.1)". The stretch from base 10 to 84 matches the Rfam family "mir-10 microRNA precursor family". From Rfam's summary of the family: In this case the mature sequence comes from the 5' arm of the precursor. The extents of the hairpin precursors are not generally known and are estimated based on hairpin prediction. The products are thought to have regulatory roles through complementarity to mRNA. The record is from RNAcentral. Lineage: Eukaryota; Metazoa; Chordata; Actinopteri; Tetraodontiformes; Tetraodontidae.